UUAAGAAGUCGUUGAUCUAUUUUAAUAAAACUGGGUGGUAAAUUUUACAUUUUCAGAAAACUGUGUACUCUGCAACAAUGCAUCAGAAUCAGACUCGCAAUGGUUAUGUACAGAAAUUCGUGACGUGUGCUGGAAACAGACCACCCCUAUUUGAACUUCAAUCAGAUUUAGAAGAUGUCAACAACCUCUGUGCGAUCCAAAUGAAAAAUAUAGUUCAAGCUGGCCUUCUAUUAAUUAUUUUAAUUCUGACCCAUUUGCCAAUCUAAAGUACAAAGAAAUUAAAAUACAAUAAAAAGUAUACUCAUAAUAUCUA
Long non-coding RNA from Folsomia candida, 313 nucleotides. RefSeq lists it as uncharacterized. The transcript has 2 exons. The record is from RefSeq and is a predicted model, not a curated record. Lineage: Eukaryota; Metazoa; Arthropoda; Collembola; Entomobryomorpha; Isotomidae.